This 472-nucleotide ribosomal RNA is filed under the name uncultured bacterium. RNAcentral describes it as "bacterial SSU rRNA". It matches the Rfam family "Bacterial small subunit ribosomal RNA", at positions 28 to 526 of the family's 1533-position model. The record is from RNAcentral.
AACGAACGCUGGCGGCGCGCUUAACACAUGCAAGUCGAACGGGCGGUUAUCUUCGGGUGACCGUCAGUGGCGGACGGGUGCGUAACGCGUGGGAACCUGCCUUCUGGUUCGGGAUAACCGUGGGAAACCAUGGCUAAGACCGGAUAUUCCCGGGGUGUGAGCUUCGGGGAAAGUCUUGUCGCCGGAAGAUGGGCCCGCGUCGGAUUAGCUUGCCGGUGGGGUAGAGGCCUACCGGGGCUGCGGUCCGUAGCUGGUCUGCGAGGAUGGCCAGCCACACUGGGACUGAGACACGGCCCAGACUCCUACGGGAGGCAGCAGUGGGGAAUCUUGGACAAUGGGCGCAAGCCUGAUCCAGCGACGCCGCGUGGGUGAUGAAGGCCUUCGGGUUGUAAAGCCCUUUUGCCGGGGACGAUGAUGACGGUACCCGGAGAAUAAGCACCGGCUAACUCCGUGCCAGCCGCCGCGGUAAAAC